CACCUUUAAUUCUAUAUUUGCCAAUUUGACCUUGCAGUUUUCAUCUAUGAUUACCACUAUGACGUACUUCAGAGAGAGGGAGGAUUCACUCUUUCUUUUGGCUGAUGUCACUGCAACUCCAGCAGAUGUAGAGAGAAGCUUCACUGUUCCCAGCAUCCCAAGGUGAUUGCACUUGGAGAUUCUGUUCUCCAAGCAAAAAUAUGGAUGCUAACUAUGGAGGGCAGAGUCAUCAUCCAGCUGCAGGAGCUAACAGAUUUUUCAUCAGCAUUAGCUGUCCUGUUUGGCUGCUACUAUGUAUUCAAUGUGCAGUACCAGGAAGAGGCGGCCAGUACACUGGAGUUUAUUCAGAGGUUCAUUCUGGGAAUCAACCCUGAUGGCACCAAAUAGCAAUCAAAGUCACACAUCAGCCAAAAAUCUGGAUAGAGGAUGCAAAGAAAAAG
Long non-coding RNA from Xyrauchen texanus (razorback sucker), 440 nucleotides. RefSeq lists it as uncharacterized. The transcript is spliced from 4 exons. Lineage: Eukaryota; Metazoa; Chordata; Actinopteri; Cypriniformes; Catostomidae. The record is from RefSeq and is a predicted model, not a curated record.